UCGGCGCUAAUACCUCAUAAUGCAGCGGAUCCGCAUGGAUAUGUUGUUAAAGGUUUACCGCCUUGGGGAUAGGCUUGCGUCUGAUUAGCUAGUUGGUGUGGUAACGGCACACCAAGGCUACGAUCAGUAACUGGUCUGAGAGGAUGAUCAGUCACACUGGAACUGAGACACGGUCCAGACUCCUACGGGAGGCAGCAGUGAGGAAUAUUGGGCAAUGCUCGAAAGAGUGACCCAGCAACGCCGCGUGGAGGAUGAAGGUAUUCUAUAUCGUAAACUCCUGUGAGAGCAGACGAAAGACAGAUUAUUAAUCUGGAUGACUGUAUGCUCAGAGGAAGCCCCGGCUAACUACGUG
This 352-nucleotide ribosomal RNA is filed under the name uncultured bacterium. RNAcentral's name for it is "bacterial SSU rRNA". It matches the Rfam family "Bacterial small subunit ribosomal RNA", at positions 157 to 507 of the family's 1533-position model. The record is from RNAcentral.